GUAGGGAAUAUUGGGCAAUGGAGGCAACUCUGACCCAGCCAUGCCGCGUGCAGGAUGACGGCCCUCUGGGUUGUAAACUGCUUUUAUACGGGAAGAAAAAAUACUACGUGUAGUAUACUGACGGUACCGUAAGAAUAAGGAUCGGCUAACUCCGUGCCAGCAGCCGCGGUAAUACGGAGGAUCCAAGCGUUGUCCGGAUGUAUUGGGGUUAAAGGGUGCGUAGGCGGAUCUUUAAGUCAGUGGUGAAAGCCUGCAGCUUAACUGUAGAAUUGCCAUUGAAACUGAAGAUCUUGAAUGUGGUUAAAGUAGGCGGAAUGUAUCAUGUAGCGGUGAAAUGCUUAGAUAUGAUACAGAACACCGAUAGCGAAGGCAGCUUGCUGAACCAUUAUUGACGCUGAGGCACGAAAGCGUGGGGAGCGAACAGGAUUAGAAACCCCAAUGUCC
RNAcentral lists this ribosomal RNA (444 nucleotides) under uncultured bacterium. Its description in RNAcentral is "partial 16S ribosomal RNA". It matches the Rfam family "Bacterial small subunit ribosomal RNA", at positions 354 to 796 of the family's 1533-position model. The record is from RNAcentral.